CCUACGGGCGGCAGCAGUGGGGAAUAUUGGACAAUGGGGGCAACCCUGAUCCAGCCAUGCCGCGUGUGUGAAGAAGGCCCUCGGGUUGUAAAGCACUUUCAGUGAGGAAGAACGCCUGGUGGUUAAUACCCAUCAGGAAAGACAUCACUCACAGAAGAAGCACCGGCUAACUCCGUGCCAGCAGCCGCGGUAAUACGGAGGGUGCGAGCGUUAAUCGGAAUUACUGGGCGUAAAGCGCGCGUAGGUGGCUUGAUAAGCCGGUUGUGAAAGCCACGGGCUCAACCUGGGAACGGCAUCCGGAACUGUCAAGCUAGAGUGCAGGAGAGGAAGGUAGAAUUCCCGGUGUAGCGGUGAAAUGCGUAGAGAUCGGGAGGAAUACCAGUGGCGAAGGCGGCCUUCUGGACUGACACUGACACUGAGGUGCGAAAGCGUGGGUAGCAAACAGGAUUAGAUACCCUUGUAGUC
RNAcentral lists this ribosomal RNA (465 nucleotides) under Vreelandella stevensii. RNAcentral describes it as "partial 16S ribosomal RNA". It matches the Rfam family "Bacterial small subunit ribosomal RNA", at positions 338 to 795 of the family's 1533-position model. Lineage: Bacteria; Pseudomonadati; Pseudomonadota; Gammaproteobacteria; Oceanospirillales; Halomonadaceae. The record is from RNAcentral.